RNAcentral lists this ribosomal RNA (253 nucleotides) under uncultured bacterium. Its description in RNAcentral is "partial 16S ribosomal RNA". It matches the Rfam family "Bacterial small subunit ribosomal RNA", at positions 524 to 776 of the family's 1533-position model. The record is from RNAcentral.
UACGGAGGAUCCAAGCGUUAUCCGGAAUCAUUGGGUUUAAAGGGUCCGUAGGCGGUUUUGUAAGUCAGUGGUGAAAGCCCAUCGCUCAACGGUGGAACGGCCAUUGAUACUGCAAGACUUGAAUUACUAGGAAGUAACUAGAAUAUGUAGUGUAGCGGUGAAAUUCGUAGAUAUUAGGAAGAACACCAAUAGCGAAGGCAGCUCGCUGGGACGGUAUUGACGCUGAGGCGCGAAAGCCAGGGGAGCAAACGGG